This 467-nucleotide ribosomal RNA is filed under the name uncultured bacterium. RNAcentral describes it as "partial 16S ribosomal RNA". It matches the Rfam family "Bacterial small subunit ribosomal RNA", at positions 29 to 507 of the family's 1533-position model. The record is from RNAcentral.
ACGAACGCUGGCGGCGUGCUUAACACAUGCAAGUCGCACGGAAAGGCCCUGCUUUUGUGGGGUGCUCGAGUGGCGAACGGGUGAGUAACCCGUGAGUAACCUGCCCUUGACUUUGGGAUAACUUCAGGAAACUGGGGCUAAUACCGGAUAGGAGCUCCUGCUGCAUGGUGGGGGUUGGAAAGUUUCGGCGGUUGGGGAUGGACUCGCGGCUUAUCAGCUUGUUGGUGAGGUAGUGGCUUACCAAGGCUUUGACGGGUAGCCGGCCUGAGAGGGUGACCGGCCACAUUGGGACUGAGAUACGGCCCAGACUCCUACGGGAGGCAGCAGUGGGGAAUAUUGCACAAUGGGCGGAAGCCUGAUGCAGCAACGCCGCGUGCGGGAUGACGGCCUUCGGGUUGUAAACCGCUUUCGCCUGUGACGAAGCGUGAGUGACGGUAAUGGGUAAAGAAGCACCGGCUAACUACGUA